AGCACGGACGGUCCAGAUUUAAUCAAAAUGGACGGCUAUGAUCAAAAGGCAAAAGGGUAUAAAUAAAACCCACAUACCUGACCACAAAAACCCUAGCCGCCUGCCCUCGCCGGAGAAGACGAACCAGACGCCGGAGGAGCCGGCUGCCGCCACCCGCCGCCGCACCGUGGAGUUUUUCGACCGCCGAUCGCGGUAAAUUUCAUACCCCAGCUCGUUUUUUAAUGCUGAGUUCCCCUGUGGCCAAAUCGG
RNAcentral lists this long non-coding RNA (249 nucleotides) under Carica papaya (papaya). RNAcentral's name for it is "long non-coding RNA (CPAP_LNC006988)". The record is from RNAcentral. Lineage: Eukaryota; Viridiplantae; Streptophyta; Magnoliopsida; Brassicales; Caricaceae.